This 529-nucleotide ribosomal RNA is filed under the name uncultured bacterium. RNAcentral describes it as "bacterial SSU rRNA". It matches the Rfam family "Bacterial small subunit ribosomal RNA", at positions 17 to 518 of the family's 1533-position model. The record is from RNAcentral.
UUCUGGCUCAGGACGAACGCUGGCGGCGUGCCUAAUACAUGCAAGUCGAACGGCUUUUCUAUGGAAGCUUGCUUCCACUGAGAAGAUAGUGGCGAACGGGUGAGUAACACGUGGGUAACCUGCCCAUAAGAGGGGGGAUAACAUCCGGAAACGGGUGCUAAUACCGCAUAGUUUUCUUGAUCGCAUGAUUGAGAAAGGAAAGACGGCCUUUGUGCUGUCGCUUAUGGAUGGACCCGCGGCGUAUUAGUUAGUUGGUGAGGUAACGGCUCACCAAGACGAUGAUACGUAGCCGACCUGAGAGGGUGAUCGGCCACAUUGGGACUGAGACACGGCCCAAACUCCUACGGGAGGCAGCAGUAGGGAAUCUUCCGCAAUGGACGAAAGUCUGACGGAGCAACGCCGCGUGAGUGAAAGAAGGUUUUCGGAUCGUAAAACUCUGUUGUCAGAGAAGAACAAGUUGGAGAGUAACUGCUCCAGCCUUGACGGUAUCUGACCAGAAAGCCACGGCUAACUACGUGCCAGCCGCCGC